Long non-coding RNA from Marmota monax (woodchuck), 4777 nucleotides. RefSeq lists it as uncharacterized. NCBI's taxonomy places the organism in Eukaryota, Metazoa, Chordata, Mammalia, Rodentia, Sciuridae. The record is from RefSeq and is a predicted model, not a curated record. The transcript has 4 exons.
UCGGCGCGCUCAGGCAGCCCAAGGGGCGCAGACUCACGAAGGCCAGGAUCUUGUCUCUGGGUGUCGCAGCCUCACGUGGGGAACGUGGUGCUUCAGUGGCGGUGCAACUGGCGGGUGGCGGUGGAAUCGUGAGACCUGGAGAAGCGGAAGGGCACUGGGAGAAGGACGCGGACGCCUGCAGGAAGUCAGGCCUGGAAGGCGCUCACAAAGAGCGGGCUGUCCUCUCAGUGGGCUGUUUCAGAGGGUGAAGUGUCCGUCAUCACGCUCGCUGUACAGUUCCUGAGGUGGCUCUCCAGGCCUGUGGCUUCCAGGAAGGGAUGUGCGGCCUUCACACAAGAUUCCCCCCAUGAAAUGUGACAUAAAGAAGAAUGAAAUUAUGGCAUUUGCUGGAAUGGAUGUGUUAUGGAGAGGCACUCUAGGAAACACUUAAAUGUGACAUGUGGCCCCAGAGUCAGUGAAGACUACCCAGUCACCACCCAGUUACCAGCUCAUUAUGAUCUCUCUCUCCACCUUAAGCCACUUUGAUAAGCAGGAGAAUAAGGAACACACACUUGAGCACACAAUCUGAUCUCUGCAACCUGAGGCCAGACCAGCAACCUACCCUUCUGGGGAGAUAAGUGUUCCUCUCUACUUCCUGUUACUGUCUUUCUUGCAGCCACCCUUCCUUCCCUAAUGGACUUGCUCCAUCACAGGAGCAAACUGAGGGAAUGCAACAGAGAACAGCUGGUGAAGGCUCCAGGAGAUGCAAAGCAAAGUGCCCAAACCCAUAUGCCCUUUCCAGGAAGGAAGGUGGAGAAGAGAGAGGUUGCCCUGCACCACCACUUCGGCUCCUGGGAAUAUACCACACAAACCUACAAAAGAAAAGGAAGAUUUGGUUUUCAUGUUUGAUGUCAAGAAUCUCUAGUCACAUAAUUGGACCAAAAGUUCCCUCUGGAAACCAUCUCAGCCUACAUUUUACCUUACAGAAGAGGAGAGAUGUUACCAUCUGGACCUACUAAGCUAAACACAGUCUCCCAAUUACAGAAUGUCAGGAGGAAUACAGGUCUCCCAGAUUCUGUUCCACUGUUUUUCUUACUACAGUAGUCCCCUCAUCCACAGUUUCAGUGCUCACUGGUUAAAUAAAACUUGAAUAUAUAAAUAGGAAAUUCCAGAAAUAAACAAUUCACAAGUUUUACGUUAUGCUCCAUUCUGAGUAUUUUGAUGAAAUCUCACCGUUUCCUUCCAUCUCAUUCCAUCAAUCCCAGAACAUGAAGUAUUCCUUUGUAGAGUAUACCCAUGCUGCAUGUACCACCUACCCAUUAGUCACUCAGUAACCAUAUCCAUUGCAGAAUUGUUAUUGCAGGUGCUUAUGUUCAAGUACCAUUAAUGGCCCCAAAGUGCAAACUAUUAAAGUGUAUUAUUAUUAUUAUUAUUAUCAUUUUACAUAUUAUAAUUAAUCUUUUACUGUGACUAAUCUAUAAAUUAAAGUAUCAUAAAUAUUAAUGUACAUGGAAAAACCCAGCCUAUAUUCAGAGGUUUUCACUUGCGGUUUUAGAACAUAUCACCCACAGGUUAGGGGGAGUACUAUAAAAUCAUUGUGACUCCUUAACUAAGGAAAAUUUUUAGAAAGUAAAAAUUUAAAAAUGCAUUGCUUUAACUUCUGAAAUCAGAGAGCUUACAAAUGAUUGUCAGUCAUGUCAUGUGUGAGACUGAUAUAAAACUGCAACCACACAGUUAUCCUCUCCAUUCACUUGCAUGGCUUUUUCCACCCUCUAAGUUUGUUUACUUCCUGUCACAAAUGGAUUUUGGCUCUAUGAAGAUGUGUAUUUUUAUUUGUUUUGCUUACUGCCAUAUUUCCAGGACCCAUCACAGUGCCUGGCACAUAAUAAGUCUUCAAAAACUACUUAUUGGGUGGCCAAAUGAAUAAAUACUUGCAGCUUCUCUUAAGGGGAACCAUUUCCACUUAAGUGACAUUCCUCGACAUCCUGACUGAAACACAGGAUCAACAUACUCAACAGAUAAUCCAAAGCCUAACAAAUCAUGUGUGUGUGUGUGUGUGUGUGUGUGUGUGUGUGUGUGUAUGUUUAUUUUUCUCAUCCCUCUUUGUCCCUCACUGGAACCUACUAGUUUGGCCAUGCUGGUUGUGGCCUCACACAGUGGACGAUGGGCACUGAUAUUGCAAGAAGUCAAAAAGAGGCAGGCCAUAAAAUGGUGUAAGCAAAAUACAGAAGCAUGCAUUAGGCCUAAGUCUAAAGCAACCAAAAGGGAGGUGUCAGCACUAGACUGAGAACUCCAAGCCCUCUGCUGAAGUGUCUACACUGGCUGAGGAUUUAAAAUAAUUUUCUCAUUCCAAUACCCAAGACUAUGACUCUAAUGCCUGGAUUCGGAUGUUGUGCCAUUUCCAAUUUCCCCACAUUGAUCUUACACAACCAGUCUUUGUAUGGCUAUCUUCUACCUUGUGCUGAAAAUCCUAACACCAGUGAUAAUUAUAAACAACUGGUAUUACCCAUAAAGCCUUCAUCAGCUUAGGUGAGAAAGUAUUCUACAUUGUGAGUAGUGUUCCAAGACAAAGUGAAUAAAGCACAUAUAGAAUAUAACUGCCCCUCUUCCAGUAUGCAUGGCUUUAUUUCUGUAUCUAGACACAUGCUGUUAUAAAAAUCUUUCACUGCAGUAUUUCAUUAUGGAUAGUCCAAUUCACUUCCUUUAAUAAUAAUCCAGAAGCAACCUGGAUUUACAAUCUGUAAAAUUUUUAAAAGACAGAUAAACGAUGCAUAAUUUAAAAGUAGAACCAUAAAAUUAUAAACCUUACAAUCAUGAUAACUACUUUUAAUAUAAGUGAGCAAACAAAUUCUUAACAAGUAAUUUUGUCUUAAAUUGUUAGACCAAAGGUAAAUACCAAAUUGUAUAAGCAGCAAUAAGUAAGUCAUUUUCAAUGAUGUUCAGAGAUGCCUUUUAUCUCCAUAUUUUGAAAAUAUCCAUAAUUAUAUUUACAAGCAGGGGUCACAGCUAUAUUUUAACAUUUUUUUUUAAAAAAAGGAAAAGUAAGUAGGAAUACGUGUAUAUUAUACUCAUAUUAAAAAAGAAGUAAUGAUAAAAAAAUAAAUAUAAACUAUUACCUAUAAUGGAACAGAGAAUAAAUUUAAAGAAACAGAAGCAAAGUCAAACCUGUUGGAAUAUAUCAUGUUACAUGUUAUUGUUAUUAGAAACCCAGAUUUCAUUGUUAGAGACAAAAUAAAAAUAUAAAAAAUUAAAUUUGAAUUGACAUUCUAAGAAUUCAUGACUUUUCAAAUGUAUUUCCUUGUUCUGCCUAAUGAAAGGGCUUAGAAGCAAUAUUGUCCUAAAUUUUGAGAUCCUAAAUGCCAAGAAGCAGGAACACAGUUAUUUGUAGUCAUAUUAUGCCUACUUUUCCAAUUAUUUAAACAUUGUAUAUUAAAAAAUGUAAAAAAGAAUAUUGGUGGGCUGGGGAUGUGGCUCAAGUGGUAGUGCACUCCCCUGGCAUGCACAGAGUGCUGGGUUCAAUCCUCAGCACCACAUAAAAAUAAAAUAAAGAUGUUAUGUCCACUGAAAUCUCAAAAUAAAUAUUAAAAAUUCUCUCAAUUCUCUCUCUCUCUCUCUCUCUCUCUCAAAAAAAAAAAAAAAGAACAUUGGUCAUUCUAAUUCUAGUAAUGAUAUCUGCAGGUAACAAUUGUAAACCCUGGGGCAUGGGUAAUGAUCUGAAGUCACUGAAGUGGUGCUCAAAGCAGACAGGUCCUAAAAGACAUUUGGUUCCUCAAAGAAGGAAACCUCACGAAAAUCCAGGUUUUCGUAGCUUUUCCCAGAGGACCUCCCACUGCUCUGACUCCUUUUCUUAAUGUUGGAGUGGUGGAAAGGCUCUUCUUUUUUCUCUUUAUCCCCAUCUCCUGCUGGCUCACAAUUGCCUCAGAGUCUAUGUAUAAGCUUUUCCUUUACUAGGAUAUUAAUUUCUGUCAACCCACCUCCAAAGUGUAAUGAACAUAUAGCCCUAUGUGAUUCCCAAUCUUAAAUAGGAUCUUCUGAGUGAGACAUUUCCUGACUUCCCAAACUUUAUCUGGUUCUGUUAAGAUAAAGAAAGCUUAUUACAGAAAUAAGGAAAACUAUUGUAACACACGCUUCCCAUACUACUGUUUACUUCCUCCUAUUUUCUGGUGAUAAAGGGAUACACCAAUUAAUUUUAGGAGGGGAAUAUCUACCAAAAUGUUCAAUAAAAAUGUUUAAUUAAAUUUAGUUACAUUAAGAUAAGGUGGUUUCAUUAUCCUAUGAUUUGAAUUUUCCCACCUACUUUUGAGAAAAUGGAAUAGACUUUCUACUAUACAAGAGUAUAGAAUAUAUGGAUUGCAUUUGCCUUGAAAUGUGGUUACUGCUUGCUACAUUGAAGUGUGAUGCUUAACAUUAUGUGUCAACUUGGCUUGAAUAAGUCUCAAAAUUUUGAUGAAAUUCCCUUACAGAGGUUGCUAUGAAGAUUUCUUUAGAUGUGGCUGAUAUUUAAAUAGAUUUUCAGUAAGACAAAACACCUGUCAUAAUUUGAUCCAAUCAUCUGAAGGCUUUAUGAGAAAAGACUGAGUUCUUCUAAAGAAGCGUGAUUCUGCUGCCAGACUUCCUUUAUACUGAAACUACAUCAUCAUCUCUUUUCUAGCCCACAGGAGUGCUCUGCAGAUUUUAGAAUUAUCAAUCCCAGCAAAUGCCUAAAACUAAAGCUGUAUCCCCUCUCCUCCCGCUACCACUCUCCUCCUCCUCCUCCUCCUCCUCCUCCUCCUCCUUCUUCUUCUUCUUUUCUCUCUCU